Long non-coding RNA from Helianthus annuus (common sunflower), 1169 nucleotides. RefSeq lists it as uncharacterized. The record is from RefSeq and is a predicted model, not a curated record. Lineage: Eukaryota; Viridiplantae; Streptophyta; Magnoliopsida; Asterales; Asteraceae. The transcript is spliced from 5 exons.
CUUUUCCCUCUUAAUCGAAAAUCUCAAACUUUGCUUUUUCUCUUUUCCCUCUUCUUGCUUUUAUUCGGUUUCUCAAACUCCCGCUUCUUCCCCAUCCCAUUUCCUAUGUCCCUGGAGGUGCCCUUCUGAAACAUUUGAAACCACCAUUACACACCAUAAUGAAGAAAUGAGGUAGCGAAAUAUGGCAAGUGCAGGAUCAACCUUAAGCUUUGGGAAGUAAAGCCCUAGAUUAGGGCUCCAAAUACUUUUAGAUCUACUCAACGUUAGGGUUAAUGCUUCAAAUUUAAAAUAAAAUUUAAAAUAGAUUUGAGGUCUUGCCCAAUCAUUCAUUAGCAGAUUUUGUACACUUAAUAAAGCACGCCGGGUGUUCGAUGCCAUGCCGAAGAGAGGCGCUUUCAAUUUUACGCAUGCCAACAAGAUUACAUGUAACGUUAAGUAUACACAAUUAAGGAAGUUUGCAGAAAUUGAUUAAUUUCUCUUUUCUUACAAGUAUUUUUAAUCUUUUUGUUAGGACUUGGGAGUUUAGUGGAAGAGUGAAAGGUAUAAAGAUGGAUAUUGUAGACACAACAAGUGCUCAAGAAUCAGGAUGCUUUUCUAGCUGGAGUAUCAUCAAAACAGUAAUGCAUUAAAACAGUCUGUUCCAAUCCUUAAGACGAUCUAUACUCAAUCGUUCGUAAAAGGGUAGUGAAUGAACCACUUGAAAGUAUAUGAUAUCCAAUGUUCUUGGUUUAGAUGGGAAUAGCAUGGCAAAAGUGUUUGUGUAAAUGAGGGUCUGAUAGUACGUGUCUUGGUGGCGCCUUUGUUCGGUCUUAGUUCAAUGGUUGGAUGGCUGAUGAAUCUAGGCGUUGUUUUGCCUAUUUUCUUUAAUGCUUCAAGGUAUAUUCAUUAUGAGGGUGCUAAGGUUUAAACCAAGCGUCUGCUACGUAUUGAAGAGGACCACUUAAGGAAAAAAAUGAGCUAAAAGCUUUACGAAAAGAUUUUGAAGGCCAGUGAGCAACUUUGAAGCUACGGUGUGAAAUAUUAUGAAAAGGCUACACAUUUAAGUAUUUCGGGAUUUUAGAUUAGAUUAAUAGGAUGUUUAUUGUAAACUAUAUUUAUUUAUUACAUUGUUAUUUUGAGAUUGGACACAUGUAAAAUUACCGUAACAAUUAUAUAUCUUAUUUAUGUUA